RNAcentral lists this ribosomal RNA (477 nucleotides) under uncultured bacterium. Its description in RNAcentral is "partial 16S ribosomal RNA". It matches the Rfam family "Bacterial small subunit ribosomal RNA", at positions 30 to 507 of the family's 1533-position model. The record is from RNAcentral.
AUUGAACGCUGGCGGCAUGCCUUACACAUGCAAGUCGAACGGUAACAGGUUAAGCUGACGAGUGGCGAACGGGUGAGUAAUGUAUCGGAACGUGCCCAGUCGUGGGGGAUAACUGCUCGAAAGAGCAGCUAAUACCGCAUACGACCUGAGGGUGAAAGCGCGGGAUCGCAAGACCUCGCGCGAUUGGAGCGGCCGAUAUCAGAUUAGGUAGUUGGUGAGGUAAAGGCUCACCAAGCCGACGAUCUGUAGCUGGUCUGAGAGGACGACCAGCCACACUGGGACUGAGACACGGCCCAGACUCCUACGGGAGGCAGCAGUGGGGAAUUUUGGACAAUGGGCGCAAGCCUGAUCCAGCCAUGCCGCGUGCGGGAAGAAGGCCUUCGGGUUGUAAACCGCUUUUGUCAGGGAAGAAAAGGUUCUGGCUAAUACCUGGGACUCAUGACGGUACCUGAAGAAUAAGCACCGGCUAACUACGUG